This 389-nucleotide ribosomal RNA is filed under the name uncultured bacterium. Its description in RNAcentral is "bacterial SSU rRNA". It matches the Rfam family "Bacterial small subunit ribosomal RNA", at positions 28 to 418 of the family's 1533-position model. The record is from RNAcentral.
GACGAACGCUGGCGGCGUGCUUAACACAUGCAAGUCGAGCGGUAAGGCCCUUUCGGGGGUACGACGAGCGGCGAACGGGUGAGUAACACGUGGGUGACCUGCCCUCAGCUCUGGGAUAAGCCUGGGAAACCGGGUCUAAUACUGGAUAUGACUCCAUGACGCAUGUUGUGGGGUGGAAAGCCUUGUGCGGCUGAGGAUGGGCCCGCGGCCUAUCAGCUUGUUGGUGGGGUGAGGCCUACCAAGGCGACGACGGGUAGCCGGCCUGAGAGGGCGACCGGCCACACUGGGACUGAGACACGGCCCAGACUCCUACGGGAGGCAGCAGUGGGGAAUCUUGCGCAAUGGGCGAAAGCCUGACGCAGCGACGCCGCGUGAGGGAUGACGGCCUG